CCUACGGGAGGCUGCAGUGGGGAAUAUUGGACAAUGGGCGAAAGCCUGAUCCAGCCAUGCCGCGUGUGUGAAGAAGGCCUUCGGGUUGUAAAGCACUUUCAGUGGGGAAGAAAGCCUUGGGGCUAAUACCCUCGAGGAAGGACAUCACCCACAGAAGAAGCACCGGCUAACUCCGUGCCAGCAGCCGCGGUAAUACGGAGGGUGCGAGCGUUAAUCGGAAUUACUGGGCGUAAAGCGCGCGUAGGCGGUCUGAUAAGCCGGUUGUGAAAGCCCCGGGCUCAACCUGGGAACGGCAUCCGGAACUGUCAGGCUAGAGUGCAGGAGAGGAAGGUAGAAUUCCCGGUGUAGCGGUGAAAUGCGUAGAGAUCAGGAGGAAUACCAGUGGCGAAGGCGGCCUUCUGGACUGACACUGACGCUGAGGUGCGAAAGCGUGGGUAGCAAACAGGAUUAGAUACCCCUGUAGUC
Molecule: ribosomal RNA, 465 nt
Filed under: Vreelandella stevensii
Lineage: Bacteria; Pseudomonadati; Pseudomonadota; Gammaproteobacteria; Oceanospirillales; Halomonadaceae
Description: partial 16S ribosomal RNA
Rfam family: Bacterial small subunit ribosomal RNA
Source: RNAcentral